This 20-nucleotide microRNA is filed under the name Plutella xylostella (diamondback moth). RNAcentral's name for it is "pxy-miR-8510a-8-3p". The record is from miRBase by way of RNAcentral. Lineage: Eukaryota; Metazoa; Arthropoda; Insecta; Lepidoptera; Plutellidae.
UCGCAGGUGAGAUGAUAGCA